RNAcentral lists this transfer RNA (76 nucleotides) under Streptomyces hygroscopicus subsp. jinggangensis TL01. RNAcentral's name for it is "tRNA-Arg". The record is from RNAcentral. Lineage: Bacteria; Bacillati; Actinomycetota; Actinomycetes; Kitasatosporales; Streptomycetaceae.
UCCACACCGCAUCCCGCUUCACCCACGUCCCCCCGUCCUGAUCCGGUACCCUGUGGACCGAGCGCCCACCAGGACG